GAAAAGCUUGCUUUUCUUGAGAGCGGCGGACGGGUGAGUAAUGCCUAGGAAUCUGCCUGGUAGUGGGGGAUAACGUCCGGAAACGGACGCUAAUACCGCAUACGUCCUACGGGAGAAAGCAGGGGACCUUCGGGCCUUGCGCUAUCAGAUGAGCCUAGGUCGGAUUAGCUAGUUGGUGAGGUAAUGGCUCACCAAGGCGACGAUCCGUAACUGGUCUGAGAGGAUGAUCAGUCACACUGGAACUGAGACACGGUCCAGACUCCUACGGGAGGCAGCAGUGGGGAAUAUUGGACAAUGGGCGAAAGCCUGAUCCAGCCAUGCCGCGUGUGUGAAGAAGGUCUUCGGAUUGUAAAGCACUUUAAGUUGGGAGGAAGGGUUGUAGAUUAAUACUCUGCAAUUUUGACGUUACCGACAGAAUAAGCACCGGCUAACUCUGUGCCAGCAGCCGCGGUAAUACAGAGGGUGCAAGCGUUAAUCGGAAUUACUGGGCGUAAAGCGCGCGUAGGUGGUUUGUUAAGUUGGAUGUGAAAGCCCCGGGCUCAACCUGGGAACUGCAUUCAAAACUGACAAGCUAGAGUAUGGUAGAGGGUGGUGGAAUUUCCUGUGUAGCGGUGAAAUGCGUAGAUAUAGGAAGGAACACCAGUGGCGAAGGCGACCACCUGGACUGAUACUGACACUGAGGUGCGAAAGCGUGGGGAGCAAACAGGAUUAGAUACCCUGGUAGUCCACGCCGUAAACGAUGUCAACUAGCCGUUGGGGACCUUGAGUCUUUAGUGGCGCAGCUAACGCAUUAAGUUGACCGCCUGGGGAGUACGGCCGCAAGGUUAAAACUCAAAUGAAUUGACGGGGGCCCGCACAAGC
Molecule: ribosomal RNA, 861 nt
Filed under: Pseudomonas azotoformans
Lineage: Bacteria; Pseudomonadati; Pseudomonadota; Gammaproteobacteria; Pseudomonadales; Pseudomonadaceae
Description: bacterial SSU rRNA
Rfam family: Bacterial small subunit ribosomal RNA
Source: RNAcentral